Long non-coding RNA from Galeopterus variegatus (Sunda flying lemur), 132 nucleotides. RefSeq lists it as uncharacterized. The record is from RefSeq and is a predicted model, not a curated record. NCBI's taxonomy places the organism in Eukaryota, Metazoa, Chordata, Mammalia, Dermoptera, Cynocephalidae. The transcript is spliced from 4 exons.
CUCUUUUUAGAAAAAUCUGAACAACAAGAAAAAGAGCCUCUGUCUAUAAAAACAGACAAACCAAAACCAACUUCUAAAGGAAUAUCAGAAGUUACAGGAUCAGGAAAGAAGAAAUCUGAAAAAUCUGAAAAG